UACGGAAGGCAGCAGUGGGGAAUAUUGCACAAUGGGCGAAAGCCUGAUGCAGCUAUGCCGCGUGUAUGAAGAAGGCCUUAGGGUUGUAAAGUACUUUCAUCGGGGAGGAAAAACAAAACUAAUAAUUUUAUUUCUUGACGUUACCCGAAAAAGAAGCACCGGCUAACUCCGUGCCAGCAGCCGCGGUAAUACGGAGGGUGCUAGCGUUAAUCAGAAUUACUGGGCGUAAAGAGCACGUAGGUGGUUUUUUUAAAGUCAGAUGUGAAAUCCCUGGGCUUAACCUAGGAACUGCAUUUUGAAACUGAAAUACUAGAGUAUCGUAGAGGGAGGUAGAAUUCUAGGUGUAGCGGUGAAAUGCGUAGAUAUCUGGAGGAAUACCUGUGGCGAAAGCGGCCUCCUAAACGAAUACUGACACUGAGGUGCGAAAGC
RNAcentral lists this ribosomal RNA (429 nucleotides) under uncultured bacterium. RNAcentral describes it as "bacterial SSU rRNA". It matches the Rfam family "Bacterial small subunit ribosomal RNA", at positions 340 to 760 of the family's 1533-position model. The record is from RNAcentral.